GGGCUAUUAGCUCAGUGGUAGAGCGCGCCCCUGAUAACUGCGGGGCGAGGUCUCUGGUUCAAGCCCAGGAUAGCCCA
Molecule: transfer RNA, 77 nt
Filed under: Thuja plicata (western redcedar)
Lineage: Eukaryota; Viridiplantae; Streptophyta; Pinopsida; Cupressales; Cupressaceae
Also listed under: 34 other names
Description: tRNA-Ile
Rfam family: tRNA
About the family: Transfer RNA (tRNA) molecules are approximately 80 nucleotides in length.
Source: RNAcentral